UACGGAAGGCAGCAGUGGGGAAUAUUGCACAAUGGGCGAAAGCCUGAUGCAGCCAUGCCGCGUGUAUGAAGAAGGCCUUCGGGUUGUAAAGUACUUUCAGUCGUGAGGAAGGUGUUAAGGUUAAUAACCUUAGCAAUUGACGUUAGCGACAGAAGAAGCACCGGCUAACUCCGUGCCAGCAGCCGCGGUAAUACGGAGGGUGCGAGCGUUAAUCGGAAUUACUGGGCGUAAAGGGCACGCAGGCGGUUAAUUAAGUUGGAUGUGAAAUCCCCGGGCUUAACCUGGGAAUGGCAUUCAAGACUGGUUAGCUAGAGUCUUGUAGAGGGGGUAGAAUUCCAUGUGUAGCGGUGAAAUGCGUAGAGAUGUGGAGGAAUACCGGUGGCGAAGGCGGCCCCCUGGACAAAGACUGACGCUCAUGUGCGAAAGCGUGGGGAGCAAACAGGGAUUAGAUACC
Molecule: ribosomal RNA, 454 nt
Filed under: uncultured bacterium
Lineage: Bacteria
Description: bacterial SSU rRNA
Rfam family: Bacterial small subunit ribosomal RNA
Source: RNAcentral